RNAcentral lists this transfer RNA (51 nucleotides) under Parachtes limbarae. RNAcentral's name for it is "tRNA-Thr". Lineage: Eukaryota; Metazoa; Arthropoda; Arachnida; Araneae; Dysderidae. The record is from RNAcentral.
UAAUGCGUGGUUUAAGUAAAACAUAAACUUUGUAAGUUUAAGUUAAAAAGA